UUGAAGAUCGGGCCCCAGGUCUUCUACCCCGUAUAUGUUGUGUUUUGCGACCUCCGCGUGGCUCGUGCAAUCACGCGACCACUGGUUACAAAUGGCUGCCUCGCUUCGAUUUGCACCAAGAAAGGAGCAAUGGUCAAUCAUCCGUUUCCUUGUGAGUGAAAGUGUGAAACCCAUUGGCAUCCACCGUCGCACGAAGGCACAGUAUGGUAGUGCCUGCGCUGCCUGCAUAGAUGUACCACUGGAACAAGUGCAUGAAUGAAUGGUAAGCUCGCAGGAGGCAACCCUAACAUGAAUUGGACGCCACGGCCUGGUAACCCGCAGCACACCGCUGUAGCGGCCGAAGCUACCGAAACCCCAUUUUUGGGGGGAUCAUCAUGGUAUACAGUUGGUGAACGUUCACUGCCAAGGGGAUAAACAGUGAACAACGAAACAUACUGAGAUUUCCUGGCAUCAUAAUUAAAGCCCGCCACCAGAACAAAACGUUGUGGACUGCUCGCAAAGAGUGGAUUGCUCCAACAUGACCGGUCACGUAUGAACAACGUAUGACUACUUCAACCAUCCGUGAUCUUCCAUCUGAGUUUCUUCUACGUCCGCCAUAUUCACCUGACCUCGCGUCGUCGGAAUAUCACAUGUUCGACGGCCUCAAGAAGGGUCUUUGUGGCGGGAAGAUUGGUUCCGACGAAGACGUCAGGAGAGCGGUGCGUGAAUAUCUACGUUCUUCUCUGUUGGAAUGCAAGCGCUUCAAGCGCACUGCAUAAGCGUUGCAUUAAGCGCCUUUUCCGGUCUAUAUUUGACUUCCGGGUACCCACUUCCGGUCUAAACCCGACUUCCGGUAUCGACUUUUGGACUAUACUUGACUUCCAGUUCGGCACUUCCAAUUACUAUAUCCCUCGGGAGACACCGAAGCCGCUGUUCUCGCGCCUGCGAAAUGUCGUGCAAGACAGAAAGUGCUGACGGCGACGUUGUAUUGGUGGUCUGGUGGUGGAUUGGUGGUCCAGAUGCAGACGUCAUCAGGAAUCAGGAUAGAUGUGGCUGUGGGCGCAGUGCAGGACUUCACGCCCGCCAUUACAACGUUAAAAAGUAUAUUGCUUCCUUCCUUGUGGUACCUCGUGAGUCAACCCGACUUUCGGCGUGACCCCUUCUUGCGUGCGGAUGAAGGUUUUCUGUGUCAUAAAAAAUCAGUCAAUCACAAGAAAAUUCUGUGGGGUACACCAACUUCAACAAUACGCGCAGAACUAGGGUAUGACUGACGGUAUCAUAUUUUCUCUUGACGUUCUGGAAUACUGCCAUGACUAUUUCCUUCUGGCUCUUGGCUUGCUGGACGCUGAUGAGGAGAUCGAAGACCGAAUCUACGAAUGGCAUCUCUUCGGGAAAGGUACGAUGGCCCUCAAGAAACCUUUCUUGUCUAUGCAAUACCAUUCGUUCCAAAACUUUACCAAGGCAACUUAUCGGGCUAACUGGACGAAAUGAUGAAAGGCGAUAUGGAUGCAUUCCGGACUUUAUUUCCAGAUCUUCGGCACUCCAUGACGCCUUGAAGACGUGGAGUAGACACGAAAUACCGUCGUUGCUGAGGUUUCAGAUGGCCCAUAAGUGGUUCCGUUAAAGGGACGGUCGCAACGGGAAACCCAUCUAUGAGACCGGUACCACUGUAUUCGGCAUCGGCCGACAAUCUACCCGAGUAAU
Long non-coding RNA from Ornithodoros turicata, 1683 nucleotides. RefSeq lists it as uncharacterized. NCBI's taxonomy places the organism in Eukaryota, Metazoa, Arthropoda, Arachnida, Ixodida, Argasidae. The record is from RefSeq and is a predicted model, not a curated record. The transcript is spliced from 3 exons.